CGUCCUUACAUGGUUCUCAACCGCCGAUUGAGAUUUGGAGGGAGACUAGGAGACCCAGGCGAAAACGAGUGUGCUAGCGGAGGCUCGGGGAUGCAGGGUGAUAGGGCCCAGUCUAUGCUCCGGUUGUGUUGUUGGGAUUUUCAAGAUGGGCCUUCCUAUCCAUAAGUUUGUCUUUAUACUGCAUAUUAAUUCACUCUUUUGGUUUUUCAAAUGCCCUGAUGGGAUGACCCUAAACAUGGAUAGUUUAACUUGGUAUAUCAGCUCAAACACCUGAUCCGCAAAAUG
Long non-coding RNA from Triticum aestivum (bread wheat), 285 nucleotides. RefSeq lists it as uncharacterized. The transcript is spliced from 3 exons. Lineage: Eukaryota; Viridiplantae; Streptophyta; Magnoliopsida; Poales; Poaceae. The record is from RefSeq and is a predicted model, not a curated record.